RNAcentral lists this long non-coding RNA (205 nucleotides) under Sorghum bicolor (sorghum). RNAcentral's name for it is "long non-coding RNA (SBIC_LNC010419)". The record is from RNAcentral. Lineage: Eukaryota; Viridiplantae; Streptophyta; Magnoliopsida; Poales; Poaceae.
AAAUCUUUCAAAUCAAGCCUAGCUUUAACUGUGUCUUUUGUCUUGCCCUUUAUAUUGAGAAUUGUCCCAAUUAGAUUCUCACAUAUGUUUUUCUCUAUGUGCAUCACAUCAAGAUUAUGUCUCACCUUCAACUUUUUCCAAUAUGGUAACUUCCAAAAACUAACCAUCCGGCUCCAAAUUUCCACAUGACCCCCUUCACAGUUGG